GACCGGGUAUAACAGAACAACAAUAAAAACGGAACCAGCUUCUGAAAGUACCUGCGUGGAGAAAACGGUGGUUAGGAAAACUGAUGAUAUGACAGACUUCAUGGACGACUUAACCCUCAGCUCCCCGAAGAAGAGGGAGUCAUCUCUGAGAUCAUCCAAGAGAAGCUGUGACAGGUCGUCAACAAGGUCAUCUAGCAGAUCCUCUAGCAGCUCGCAGUCCAGUUCAAGUAGUUCCUCUUCAGCUUCCUCCAGGAGUUGGAGCCGGUCCAGAUCAAGGUCACGGGCUAGAAGAAAUGGUUCUCGAAGGUACAGAAGAUACUCUCGUUCGUAUUCCAGAAGCCGGUCAAGAUCACGUGGUUACACGAGAUACCGAGGAAGGUACCGUGCCAGACACUACAGGAGGUACCACCGCUCUCCUCCGAGGUACAGAUCGCGCAGUAGGUCAUGGUCUCGUGGAAGAUCGUAUUACAGAAGGUCCUACUCGAGAAGCAGAUCGCGUUCGAGAGGCCGAAGAUAUUACGGAUUUGGGCGAACAAUUUAUCCUGAGGCUUACAGGAGCUGGAGGAGCAGGUCACGGACAAGAUCUCGGAGUAGGUCACCUCUCCAUUUGAGUGAAAAAGACAAGAGGGAACUACUGGAAAUUGCAAAAGCCAAUGCUGCAAAAGCUCUGGGAACAGAUAACAUAGUCUUGCCAGCGAGCUUGAAGAUCCUUACUCCUUCCAAAGAGAGAAAAACAGAAAACCAAGAGCGUGAAGAUCCUGGCGAGUCAGCUGAGCAACCCAGAACGCUUGCAGAAGAUGUGACCAAGAGCGGAAUGGAGAGAGCAACCAUACAGAGAAGCAUUUCUUUCAGUCCUAAUAAUACAAUGGCAAAACCAGUACUACAGAAGCCAGUGAGCCAUGUUGUUAAAGAACCGGCAAUUUCUCCAGCAAGAGAAGAGGACAGAAAGGGAAGUCCCUAUGGGCAAUGGGUUCCUGUCAAGAAGGAGGAGAAGAAAACAUUUUUAAACUUCUCACCUAAAAGUGCACCGUUCCGGGCACGCUAGCUUACUUUUCUCACUCUGACUGCAGCAUUAUGCAUACUUCAGUAGUGACAUCUGACACUUUCUGAUCAGAUUGAAGACUUGUUAAUACUCAGUAUUUAUUUUGAGAUCUUAAUUUUGGAAUCUUAGGUUUCUCUUUCAGAUCUAGAGCACAGUGAUCCAGAAGCCACAGAUGGGAAUCUUGUGUAUAUUUGUAAAUAUUUUUGUAUUGCUUUAAUGGACUAGAACUUACAGGUUUAGCUUUGUUAACCCUACUGUUACCACGAAGUGUACCAGAAGAGAAUUUUUGCAUCAUUCUGACAGUGGACCUUUCCAUCAGAAUGGUUCCUGCCCAGGCUGGGGCUAGUUGGGGGCUUUCAGAGCAACUUCCCCAGGUACCCCUCUGCAGGUGAAGGCUUGUGCUGGAUGUGGGCCUGACUGCCUGCUGCGAAGCCAUUGCUGGUCUCACUGUUGAAAGUGUUGAACCUGAGCAGCUGUCACUUCUACUGACUUCCUGCUGGCUUGUGUUUUGGUUUAGGUUUAAAAACAGCCUUGAAAGGUGUGCUGUGUAGGGCAGCCAGCAAAUUGACCUUUAGGGGUCCCUUCCAACCCAAAACAUUCUGUGAUUCUAUGGUGCUAUAAGUGUCCAGAGCUCCAGAAUUCAGAGUGCAGCACUCCUGGCUCCAUGGCUCACUGUGACCUUGGUGAAGAAAAGCGCUGCAAGUGACUCAGGAGGCUGUUGGAUG
Molecule: RNA transcript, 1767 nt
Organism: Egretta garzetta (little egret)
Lineage: Eukaryota; Metazoa; Chordata; Aves; Pelecaniformes; Ardeidae
Gene: RSRP1
Gene name: arginine and serine rich protein 1
Exons: 5
Source: RefSeq, a predicted model, not a curated record